This 240-nucleotide ribosomal RNA is filed under the name uncultured bacterium. Its description in RNAcentral is "partial 16S ribosomal RNA". It matches the Rfam family "Bacterial small subunit ribosomal RNA", at positions 28 to 253 of the family's 1533-position model. The record is from RNAcentral.
GACGAACGCUGGCGGCGUGCUUAACACAUGCAAGUCGUACGACAGCAUUUCCUUUUAGGUUGUGUUUGGAGUGGCGAACGGGUGAGUAACACGUGAGUGACCUGCCCUUCACUUUGGGAUAACGUGCGGAAACGUGCGCUAAUACCAAAUAUUCGCAUUUCUGCUGCAUGGUGGGGUGUGGAAAGGGGCCUUCGGGUUCGUGGUGGGGGAGUGGGCUCGCGGCCUAUCAGCUGUGUUGGU